RNAcentral lists this transfer RNA (61 nucleotides) under Mus musculus (house mouse). It matches the Rfam family "tRNA", at positions 6 to 65 of the family's 71-position model. Rfam says of the family: Transfer RNA (tRNA) molecules are approximately 80 nucleotides in length. Their secondary structure includes four short double-helical elements and three loops (D, anti-codon, and T loops). Further hydrogen bonds mediate the characteristic L-shaped molecular structure. tRNAs have two regions of fundamental functional importance: the anti-codon, which is responsible for specific mRNA codon recognition, and the 3' end, to which the tRNAs corresponding amino acid is attached (by aminoacyl-tRNA synthetases). tRNAs cope with the degeneracy of the genetic code in two manners: having more than one tRNA (with a specific anti-codon) for a particular amino acid; and 'wobble' base-pairing, i.e. permitting non-standard base-pairing at the 3rd anti-codon position. Lineage: Eukaryota; Metazoa; Chordata; Mammalia; Rodentia; Muridae. The record is from Rfam by way of RNAcentral. RNAcentral also lists the same sequence under 1 other name.
UGUAGCUCAGCCGUAAAGCACUUGUCUAGCAUACAUGUAACCCUGAGUUCGAUUCCCAGCA